RNAcentral lists this ribosomal RNA (253 nucleotides) under uncultured bacterium. RNAcentral's name for it is "partial 16S ribosomal RNA". It matches the Rfam family "Bacterial small subunit ribosomal RNA", at positions 524 to 776 of the family's 1533-position model. The record is from RNAcentral.
UACGUAGGGUGCGAGCGUUGUCCGGAAUUACUGGGCGUAAAGCGUGCGCAGGCGGUUCGCCAAGUCAGGUGUGAAAUCCCCGGGCUUAACCUGGGAAUUGCGCUUGAAACUAGCGGGCUUGAGUGUGGCAGAGGGGGGUGGAAUUCCACGUGUAGCAGUGAAAUGCGUAGAGAUGUGGAGGAACACCGAUGGCGAAGGCAGCCCCCUGGGUCAACACUGACGCUCAUGCACGAAAGCGUGGGGAGCAAACAGG